RNAcentral lists this ribosomal RNA (463 nucleotides) under uncultured bacterium. RNAcentral's name for it is "bacterial SSU rRNA". It matches the Rfam family "Bacterial small subunit ribosomal RNA", at positions 523 to 985 of the family's 1533-position model. The record is from RNAcentral.
AUACGUAGGUGGCAAGCGUUGUCCGGAAUUAUUGGGCGUAAAGCGCGCGCAGGCGGAUUGGUCAGUCUGUCUUAAAAGUUCGGGGCUUAACCCCGUGAUGGGAUGGAAACUGCCAAUCUAGAGUAUCGGAGAGGAAAGUGGAAUUCCUAGUGUAGCGGUGAAAUGCGUAGAUAUUAGGAAGAACACCAGUGGCGAAGGCGACUUUCUGGACGAAAACUGACGCUGAGGCGCGAAAGCCAGGGGAGCGAACGGGAUUAGAUACCCCGGUAGUCCUGGCCGUAAACGAUGGGUACUAGGUGUAGGAGGUAUCGACCCCUUCUGUGCCGGAGUUAACGCAAUAAGUACCCCGCCUGGGGAGUACGACCGCAAGGUUGAAACUCAAAGGAAUUGACGGGGGCCCGCACAAGCGGAGGAACAUGUGGUUUAAUUCGAUGAUACGCGAGGAACCUUACCCGGGCUUGAA